CGGAAGGGGCAAGCGUUGUUCGGAAUCAUUGGGCGUAAAGGGCGCGUAGGUGGUCCUAUGUGUCUACUGUGAAAGCACACGGCUCAACCGUGUCGGGUCGGUAGAAACUGUAGGACUUGAGGCUGGGAGGGGCUGGUGGAAUUCCCUGUGUAGCGGUGAAAUGCGUAGAGAUGGGGGAGAACACUCGUGGCGAAGGCGGCCAGCUGGACCAGUCCUGACACUGAGGCGCGACAGCAUGGGGAGCAAACGGGAUUAGAUACCCUGGUAGUCCAUGCCGUAAACGAUGGGCACUAGGUGCCGGCGGUAUUAAUUCCGUCGGUGCCGGCGCUAACGCAGUAAGUGCCCCGCCUGGGGAGUACGGUCGCAAGGCUG
This 372-nucleotide ribosomal RNA is filed under the name uncultured organism. RNAcentral's name for it is "bacterial SSU rRNA". It matches the Rfam family "Bacterial small subunit ribosomal RNA", at positions 526 to 896 of the family's 1533-position model. The record is from RNAcentral.